GGCCUAUACAUGUCAUUAUUAACCUUGGCCAAAAUACUCAAAAACUAACGAAAUGGUUGCUAGAUAGUGUGAUAGGUCUCCAACGAGCUUCCAACCGGUUGAGCUUUCGAUAAUCUAUAAAACAAAGGAAAAUAACUACGUAAGCAAUGAGUGCUUAGUAAGCUCGUAUAAACUUAAACUUAACUUACCAUGUUAUUCAUACAAUUCAUAGAUUAAGCAUAAAUCAU
RNAcentral lists this long non-coding RNA (227 nucleotides) under Gossypium barbadense (sea-island cotton). RNAcentral's name for it is "long non-coding RNA (GBAR_LNC014399)". The record is from RNAcentral. Lineage: Eukaryota; Viridiplantae; Streptophyta; Magnoliopsida; Malvales; Malvaceae.